UCAGCUCGUGUCGUGAGAUGUUGGGUUAAGUCCCGCAACGAGCGCAACCCUUGUCAUUAGUUGCCAUCAUUCGGUUGGGCACUCUAAUGAGACUGCCGGUGACAAGCCGGAGGAAGGUGGGGAUGACGUCAAGUCCUCAUGGCCCUUAUGACCAGGGCUUCACACGUCAUACAAUGGUCGGUACAGAGGGUAGCCAAGCCGCGAGGCGGAGCCAAUCUCACAAAACCGAUCGUAGUCCGGAUUGCACUCUGCAACUCGAGUGCAUGAAGUCGGAAUCGCUAGUAAUCGCAGGUCAGCAUACUGCGGUGAAUACGUUCCCGGGUCUUGUACACACCGCCCGUCACACCAUGGGAGUGGGGGAUACCAGAAGUAGGUAGGGUAACCGCAAGGAGUCCGCUUACCACGGUAUGCUUCAUGACUGGGGUGAAGUCGUAACAAGGUAGCCGUAGGGGAACCUGCGGCUGGAUCACCUCCUUUCUAGAG
This 483-nucleotide ribosomal RNA is filed under the name Neisseria gonorrhoeae SK29344. Its description in RNAcentral is "bacterial SSU rRNA". It matches the Rfam family "Bacterial small subunit ribosomal RNA", at positions 1055 to 1533 of the family's 1533-position model. Lineage: Bacteria; Pseudomonadati; Pseudomonadota; Betaproteobacteria; Neisseriales; Neisseriaceae. The record is from RNAcentral.